UCCCUGCUUCACAUUGACCAAGA
RNAcentral lists this non-coding RNA (23 nucleotides) under Arabidopsis thaliana (thale cress). Lineage: Eukaryota; Viridiplantae; Streptophyta; Magnoliopsida; Brassicales; Brassicaceae. The record is from RNAcentral.